Molecule: ribosomal RNA, 468 nt
Filed under: uncultured bacterium
Lineage: Bacteria
Description: partial 16S ribosomal RNA
Rfam family: Bacterial small subunit ribosomal RNA
Source: RNAcentral
GACGAACGCUGGCGGCGUGCUUAACACAUGCAAGUCGAACGGAAAGGCCCUGCUUUUGUGGGGUGCUCGAGUGGCGAACGGGUGAGUAACACGUGAGUAACCUGCCCUUGACUUUGGGAUAACUUCAGGAAACUGGGGCUAAUACCGGAUAGGAGCUCCUGCUGCAUGGUGGGGGUUGGAAAGUUUCGGCGGUUGGGGAUGGACUCGCGGCUUAUCAGCUUGUUGGUGGGGUAGUGGCUUACCAAGGCUUUGACGGGUAGCCGGCCUGAGAGGGUGACAGGCCACAUUGGGACUGAGAUACGGCCCAGACUCCUACGGGAGGCAGCAGUGGGGAAUAUUGCACAAUGGGCGGAAGCCUGAUGCAGCAACGCCGCGUGCGGGAUGACGGCCUUCGGGUUGGAAACCGCGUGCGCCUGUGACGAAGCGUGAGUGACGGUAAUGGGUAAAGAAGCACCGGCUAACUACGUG